GUGGGCGAGGUGACUACGGCGGCACGUCGGUGCCCCACGCCGAAGGGGAGGGUUCGACCCCCUCCGCCCACUCCA
RNAcentral lists this transfer RNA (75 nucleotides) under Actinomycetota bacterium. Its description in RNAcentral is "tRNA-Gly". The record is from RNAcentral. Lineage: Bacteria; Bacillati; Actinomycetota.